UACGUAGGGGGCGAGCGUUGUCCGGAGUUACUGGGCGUAAAGGGUGCGUAGGCGGCCCAUUAAGUCAGGUGUGAAAAACCCUGGCUCAACCGGGGUAUUGCACUUGAAACUGGUGGGCUUGAGUGCAGGAGAGGGAAGCGGAAUUCCUGGUGUAGCGGUGAAAUGCGUAGAUAUCAGGAGGAACACCAGUGGCGAAGGCGGCUUCCUGGCCUGUAACUGACGCUGAGGCACGAGAGCGUGGGGAGCAAAC
This 250-nucleotide ribosomal RNA is filed under the name uncultured Clostridia bacterium. Its description in RNAcentral is "partial 16S ribosomal RNA". It matches the Rfam family "Bacterial small subunit ribosomal RNA", at positions 524 to 773 of the family's 1533-position model. The record is from RNAcentral. Lineage: Bacteria; Bacillati; Bacillota; Clostridia.